RNAcentral lists this long non-coding RNA (1873 nucleotides) under Toxoplasma gondii VEG. Lineage: Eukaryota; Apicomplexa; Conoidasida; Eucoccidiorida; Sarcocystidae. The record is from RNAcentral.
CUGAUCGAUUGUAUUUCGAGGCUGUGCGAAACGAUCGUUACCCCUCGCCGUAGAAUGUUUUGGUGGAGCGCAGGAGAACGUGCACAUGCUGUGGACGGCAGGCGUCGCGCGUCUCUGUGUGCUUGAGGGAGAUGUUAUAACGAUGGUGGUGGGCGGCGCUGGCCGCGCCAUUCUUGCUAACAGAGUUUUGUGUGCUGAUGCGAUUCCAUUGGUAGGAUAACGCGAUGGAGGUGCCGCGAUGGGAGGGAUGCUUCGACGACACAGGAACUACUGUUCCUGAGGCUGGGCAUGGUGACAUGAAGGCUGUCCUGAGAUGACGCAUCUAGCAGGGUUCCAGGUGCAGUGGGUUCAGCAUAGAGUUCGAAGCGCAUCCAUCACUUUGACAGAAGUGACUAGCCUGGCGUCAAUACGGGACUCGGGACAUGCGUCGUCUUGAGUGGCGAGGUGUCAUGUGGAGCAGAGACACAGCACGACUAAUGCUGUCGAGGCCGAGUAUGUGCGAGGGAUACGGCCGCCUCAAGAUUUGAUCCCCUGUACUCAGGUGUUUUGAUUUCCAUGAACGCAGAUAGAUAUUAGAUUGUCGUCGUUCCCAUGGUCUGUGACUGGCCACAUAUCGUGGGAAGGGACACAUAUGCCGGACGCUAUCAGAGGAGCAGGCAGCGUGGGUGUCUAGGGUGUCAAAGCGCACGGUCGAGUGGAGGUAUGUCGCUGGUGGAUCUGUGUCGUCGCGGCUCAUGUGCGACGGGUGUCGGCGUAUGUGGGUCGGAGUUUUGGAAUUGUGCACGAUUUGUGGGACUGAUGACAUGGUGUAAUGUAAUUCGCCACGCUGUGUCGUGGACUCCGCCUCAUUUGGUGGACGUUGCAAUCCAGGAAGAGGAAGUAGGGACAGUUUUCUGUCGGAUUUUGUGAGUGGCCUGUGAAGGCGGUGACCAGGAUAUGCUGACUGUGUGCACUAGGGCCGCAUCGUGUCCGGCUGCUGGUUUCGUUGUCCACAGGACAUUGGCGAUGUGCACUUCCUGGUGCCCGUUGAUCGGAAAGCACUACAUCGGGAGCACUGUUGGUUGCUGAUAAAGGGGACGUCGGGGCGAUUGUCCCAGUUUUUCUCCGGUGAUCGACUCGGUCGAUACGAUGUGAUAAGAAGGUGCAGGUAACACAGGCGGUUUGAUUGGGUCUGUGCGGGCGUAGCGAGCGAGACUGCGUGGUUCAAGAGACAUGUUGUGUGCCAUGCUGUGUAGUGUCGAAGAGUGAGACAGUGCCUGUGAGGGAGUUGAGGUUCAAUUGGCUCUAGAGGUGGUGUGUGUUCCACGGAGCAGAUGCGGGAUUCACAUCGAUAUUGUCGCAGCGUAGAUGGGGGGAUCUCGAGGAACAUGGGACGCACUACAGCGGGCUACGUUUGCAUAGUGUACUUUCUUGUCCGGGGAGAGUGUGGCACUUUUGCGGACAUCACAUUGCCUAGGCGAUGUGUGUCGACAAAUGUGAGCCGCUUGGUACCGUGGGAAGCCUUUAUUUUCGGCUCGCGGCUAUAAACGCGAAUACUUCAUCUCGUGGACUGGACGAGUGGUGGUUUGCGGGUGCUGAUUAGGCGCGAAUAGUAGGACGAUAUCCGAGACCGGCAGCUCAGAGGCUUCAUGAUGUUGAAGUCNUUGGCUCUAGAGGUGGUGUGUGUUCCACGGAGCAGAUGCGGGAUUCACAUCGAUAUUGUCGCAGCGUAGAUGGGGGGAUCUCGAGGAACAUGGGACGCAGCAUAGGUGGCGACGUUUCCAGGCUGCACUAUUUUCUGGGAGCGGUUUUACGGUGUUCUUGAGAUGUUACGUCUUCGAUUUUACGACAGACGUGUUGUGCGGGUUAGCUCCCGGCGUCGGGAGUAGAUUGC